RNAcentral lists this ribosomal RNA (406 nucleotides) under uncultured bacterium. Its description in RNAcentral is "partial 16S ribosomal RNA". It matches the Rfam family "Bacterial small subunit ribosomal RNA", at positions 30 to 526 of the family's 1533-position model. The record is from RNAcentral.
AUUGAACGCUGGCGGCAGGCCUAACACAUGCAAGUCGAACGAGUGGCGGACGGGUGAGUAAUGUCUGGGAAACUGCCUGAUGGAGGGGGAUAACUACUGGAAACGGUAGCUAAUACCGCAUACCAUCGGAUGUGCCCAGAUGGGAUUAGCUAGUAGGUGGGGUAACGGCUCACCAAGGCGACGAUCCCUAGCUGGUCUGAGAGGACGACCAGCCACACUGGGACUGAGACACGGCCCAGACUCCUACGGGAGGCAGCAGUGGGGAAUUUUGGACAAUGGGCGCAAGCCUGAUGCAGCCAUCCCGCGUGUAUGAAGAAGGCCUUCGGGUUGUAAAGUACUUUCGGCAGAGAAGCGGUAUCUGCAGAAUAAGCACCGGCUAACUACGUGCCAGCAGCCGCGGUAAUAC